UCGGCGGGGUAACGGCCCACCGAGCCUACGACGGGUAGCCGGCCUGAGAGGGCGACCGGCCACAUUGGGACUGAGAUACGGCCCAUACUCCUACGGGAGGCAGCAGUGGGGAAUAUUGCACAAUGGGCGCAAGCCUGAUGCAGCGACGCCGCGUGCGGGAUGACGGCCUUCGGGUUGUAAACCGCUUUUGAUCGGGAGCAAGCCUUCGGGUGAGUGUACCUUUCGAAUAAGCACCGGCUAACUACGUGCCAGCAGCCGCGGUAAUACGUAGGGUGCAAGCGUUAUCCGGAAUUAUUGGGCGUAAAGAGCUCGUAGGCGGUU
This 321-nucleotide ribosomal RNA is filed under the name Bifidobacterium angulatum. Its description in RNAcentral is "bacterial SSU rRNA". It matches the Rfam family "Bacterial small subunit ribosomal RNA", at positions 249 to 580 of the family's 1533-position model. Lineage: Bacteria; Bacillati; Actinomycetota; Actinomycetes; Bifidobacteriales; Bifidobacteriaceae. The record is from RNAcentral.